Molecule: ribosomal RNA, 460 nt
Filed under: uncultured bacterium
Lineage: Bacteria
Description: partial 16S ribosomal RNA
Rfam family: Bacterial small subunit ribosomal RNA
Source: RNAcentral
CCUACGGGAGGCAGCAGUGAGGAAUAUUGGUCAAUGGACGAGAGUCUGAACCAGCCAAGUAGCGUGAAGGAUGACUGCCCUAUGGGUUGUAAACUUCUUUUAUAUGGGAAUAAAAUGUUCCACGUGUGGGAUUUUGUAUGUACCAUAUGAAUAAGGAUCGGCUAACUCCGUGCCAGCAGCCGCGGUAAUACGGAGGAUCCGAGCGUUAUCCGGAUUUAUUGGGUUUAAAGGGAGCGUAGGUGGAUUGUUAAGUCAGUUGUGAAAGUUUGCGGCUCAACCGUAAAAUUGCAGUUGAAACUGGCAGUCUUGAGUACAGUAGAGGUGGGCGGAAUUCGUGGUGUAGCGGUGAAAUGCUUAGAUAUCACGAAGAACUCCGAUUGCGAAAGCAGUUCACUGGACUGCAACUGACACUGAGGCUCGAAAGUGUGGGUAUCAAACAGGAUUAGAUACCCCUGUAGUC